Molecule: non-coding RNA, 6015 nt
Organism: Macaca mulatta (Rhesus monkey)
Lineage: Eukaryota; Metazoa; Chordata; Mammalia; Primates; Cercopithecidae
Source: RefSeq, a predicted model, not a curated record
UGGGCAACAGAGUGAGACUCCAUCUUUAUAAAUAAAUAAGUAAAUAAAUAAAUAAAUAAAUAGGACUGGUCUGAUGAGGUGUGACUUGAGCAGAGAGUGGAAUGAAAUCAAAGAUAGCAAGCCACACAGAGAGUGCAGCAGGCAUGGCAGCGGGAGCAAGGCUGGUGUCCCUGAGCAGGAGCAGGGAAGCCGGAGUGGCUGGACUUGUGUGGGUAUGGGGAAGAGGAGAGAGGUCACUCGUCUCUGUGAGGCCCGGGACUUUGUUUUAUCCCCUGCUGUACCCCAACACUUAGAGUGGGAGCUAGCACAGAGAAGGCACUCAAUUGAUGUUUGCUGAGCAGAUGAAUGCCUGGAGUAGACCUCAGAGCAGGGUUUGGUGGCAGGGUGGGUCAGGAGAGAGUUCACUCAACAGCCUGGUGAUAGGGGAGAACAAGUGGCCAGAGGGCAUCCAUCUAUGAUGGGGACCAGGGGUCCCUGCUGGACAGAAGUGUGGGAGACACGGAUCCUGGCCAUACCUCAGCCUUCCCUCCAGCCUAAUUACCUGCCUCCCUCCCUUUCAGAGGUUCCGGUUCUGUGGUGAUCUGGACUGUCCCGACUGGGUCCUGGCAGAGAUCAGCAGCUGGCUAAGAUGGUUGAGUGCACAGGGUCUAGUCUGGGUGGAGGAGGGGCGUUGGGUCUGGGGAUUGUGGGUGUAGAUGAUGGUGAGUUUUCUCUGGGGUUAGGGCCUCAGUGCUCUCAGCCUGUGCUACCAUGCUUUGUGACCGUGAUCAGUGGCUGGCCUGCUCUGAGCCAGUCCCCAGGAAGGAGGGGUGAGGUUCGCCAGCCUGGCUGAUGUAAGGACUUCCCUUCCAGUCCUCUGUGAAGUUGCAGCUGCUCUGCAGCCAGGUACUAAAGAGCUGCUGGGACGGGGGAAUGAUGAUCCAGGCUAGGGGUGAGGGGCUGGUGAAUAGAGUACUGGCAGCCUCUGAAGGUCUCCUUUCCUCAUAGUAUUAGAAGAUCCUGAAGCUCAUGGCCAAGUUUGGUCCCUCAGAGUCAGGCGAUGUGAAGGCCACAGUGGCAGUGCUGUUUCAUCCUCUCCAGUGCGGCCAAGCACAGUGUCGAUGGUGGAUGCUUGUCCAGUGAACUGCAGCAGCUGGGGCUGCCCAAAGGAACUGAGUCCUGGAGGAGGUGCAGGUGGAGCCAUCGAGGCAGCACUGCAGCUGGACCUGGUCUGAGUCGCUGCUCCUGGCUGUGAGAUGUGUGUCUCCCUCUGUUUAUUCAUCUGAAGGACAGGGCUGUGCUCUUCUGGGGUCACUGUGACAAUGCAGCUGGCCUGUGUGAGUUGGUGGUGGCCUCCUGAGAUGGUUUGAGGCCUCAUAAAAGCCUGAAACAGCCUGGCUUGUAGUGGGCCAGGAGACCAAAACUUGAAGACAGAGUGGCAGAGUGAAGACAGAGAGACCACCUAGUCAGCCUCAGCCCCAGGACUGUGUCCAUGCUGGUCCUGGCUCCAGUGAGCCAGUUGUUUCCUGAGACGCCUAAGUACAGAGGAAUCUGGUGCCAGCCGCAGUCAACCCUGAUGUGAUGAUCUGUCCAACAAUCUUCUUUGAUGUCUUGGUGCUGGCUGCUGUCUUUGGCCAGGUCAUGGGUUCAAAGACCAUUCCUGGAUUCCACCACCGCCAAGCGUCAAUGGGCACAGGAGCUGCUGGGGCUUUCUGGGUUAAGACCCUUGCCUAUCCCUGUGUCCCCCCCUGCAGUAGGGGGGCUGCAGGGGUCAGCCUCAGUCUCUGCCCUGGGAGCCUGCUUUACCUUGGCCUGUGCCCCACACCUGCCCUGGAAGACCCCCCACACCCUCUGGCUCUGAUCCACUGUAGAGCAGCCAGGGCACCCAUUGCUCAUACCCUCUGGCCUGAGGCUGACUGGCUCUGUGGCUGGGUUCAGGGGUUCAGGCAGGGGGGUGGGCCUUCCCUUAGCAGCCCCCAUUCCCACUCCGACCCCUUUUUAGUCUUCCUCCUCUUGUGGGCUGUACCCUGGGGCCCUCCCAGCUCCUCAUACCAGAUGCCUGUCUAAGUAUCUAGAAAUCAAUAUUUUAAAUACCAACUUUGGAUUGCUUCCUGACUUUUCCAUACCCCCAAAGGGCCAUCAUUUCUCUUAGGACUGACAGUCCCUCCAGCCCUACUGGGCCAGACUAGGCAGGUGUAAGGGUGCCCUGUCCCAGCCCUCUUUGGGGCGGGCUUCUGUCCCCUUCCUGCUGCCUGGAAGCAGGACCACACUUUGGUGGCAGGAGGGACAGCAGAGAUUGUGGACCCCCGAGCUGUGCCUAAGUCCUCUGUGUGGUCUAGCUGUAUUGGCCAUCAUUUACCACUCUGUAAAGAAGACCGAUACCUGUGGCAUGGAGGGCGUGAGGCUGGUGUGAGUGCCAAGCUCUUGGAGCAGGGCCCCGAGUGAGCGUGGACGUGGGAACAGGGGUGUUCCUCGACUUCACGAACCUUGGGGAUGGGAGUGGAGUUCCCUGUGUGGGUUGACAAGGCAUUGCUUUCCCCCACCCCACCUCUGCCCCAGCCCUGCAAGUCCAGUCCUUGGGGGUGUAGGAGGGAAGAAGUCCCUGGCUGUGUGACCUUGGGCUGGACCCUGGCCCUCUCUGGCUCUGAGUUCCUGGGAAAGUCAGUGGUGUUGGAACUGGGGGACCUAAGGCAGGUAAUCUCUUCCAGCCUCCUGCCCUCAACCCCAGACAGUGCUUCAGGGUUGAGGCACUGUCUGUGGAAGCCGUGGGACAAGGUGAAGGUGGGGAGAGGAGAGGCUUGGAGUUUGGGUUUCAGCAGAGGGAUCAGCAGCGUGAGGGGUCACCUGUGUGUAGAGGAAAGGGAGUGAAGGCCAGGAGUGAGGAAUGAGUCUGAGUGCACCCAGGAUGGUGCUGUGUCUCCUCCCACAUCCACCUAGCCCUGGUCAAGGGAGAAGAAAGGCCAUGAGACAAAGGGGAAACUGAGUUGGGUCCACACAUGUCCUUCCAGGACCUGGAGGUGCCACUGUCUGGCCCUUAUGCAGUGGGAAGUGGGGGAAGGAAGAUUCCCUCCCCACACCUCCUGUUCUCUGUCCCAAGUCUCCUGGCCCCCUGUGCACCUAAGUUCAGUCUCUGUCGGCCCCCAGCAUCAUUUCUAGGGUUGGUGGGAGGCAACUGGGAACAGGUUAGGGGUAGGUGGGGCCUGCUUGGGGGAGUCUGCUUGACUGCCUGAGCCACUUUCCACAGUAGUGGGGAGCUUUUCUGGCACAUUGACUGCACCACCAAGGCACUGCCGACAGUAGCCCCCUGGGAGUGUUUGCAGAAGGCCCUGGCAGGGGUGGUGAUGGAUCCCACCCAGAACAAAAGCAGGGUCGGGGGUCAGGGAGAACCACUUACCUGUCUGGAGAGGGUCCUCUGUGCUGCACUGUGCGCGUCUACGCUCCCAGGCUGAACACCCCAUGGGAGGCCCUCCACUUCAGCACCUUGACAAGAAGGGCAGGGACAGUGGGAUCAGGCCCAGCUCCCUGACCCCAAACCCUGCAGCCCCAGCUGGAGGGUGAGGAGAUGCUGGGCUUGGGUGAGGGAAUCAGGGGUGUAAAGGGGCCUGCUUACCCCUCAGCUUAGCUCGAGUGCUCAAGGCAUCAAAGGCUCAGCCUGACCCUCAGGAAGGAGUCUGGGCCCAGCCAGACACUCACUAGGACAAGGGCAAAUGUGACAAGCAGGAGGCCUAGAAUGAGAAGAGCCACAGCAUAGCCAGGGAUGGAGGCGUCCAGCAGGUUGGGGCUAGGAGUGCCUAGAGCAGACAAAGAAGGCUAUGGCCAGGCGGGGGCCCUGCCUCCCAGACUUCUGAGAAGGCAGAAUCUGGGCCCAGAAGUUGCUGUGGGACCAGGGAGCUGGGGCUAGGAGCAUCUUGGAGGGCUCCAUGAGGAAGGGAGGCAGGUUUCAGAUUAGGGCAUGUGGAGGCAGCGAGCCCAAGGGAGGAGGCCAAUGGACAGACGGAGGAGGCUUGCAGAGGGAAGGAGUUACUGACCGAGGUCUGGGAUGACCAUCUCUACCAAGAGGCCCUCUGUCUCCCCCAGGGUGUGCAGGUGUGCAGACCCUGACACACACAGUCCCACACAAGAGCCUGAGCUGGCACCGCGCUGAAGAAGGUGGCACCCACUCUGGCGGUCAGUGGGUCCAGCCUGGUGGGAGGAUUAUCACAGACUUCAGGGGUCUGGGCAGCCUGGGGGGCCUAAGGGUGGUCAUCUCUUCCAGCCUCCUGCCCUCAACCCCAGAACCCAGGUCUGAGCCCUGGGUCACCCAGGGCCACCCCAGACCCACUGCAAUUCCUCCACCACCACUUGGUCAAAGUUCGGCAGAGGUCUGAGGACGAGGGUCAGCUGGGGUGUCAGGAGAGGAUGGAGAGGGUCACAGCUCUACCAGAGCCUUGUCCAGUCAUCCCCCAUCUUCCUGAGGCCCCUUCCCCGAUCCCCCCACUUCACCCAUCUGGUCAGCUCCCCUGAAGUGCCCAGAACUCAGGGCUGGUUUUGUCCUCCAAGGCCUUGGUGUAGGGCUGGCCCAGGAUCUGCAGCCAAACUUCAUACAGCACCAGCUCUGCCUCCUCUCCUAGAGCGAUGGGGGUGGAGGCGGCAUCAGCCUGCUCUCCCUCUCCUGGAAGCCCUGGGGUGGGGCGCGCACCCAAGCUCUAAUACUCCAUCCAGGGGUCAGCCACUGCUGGUCUAACGGUCAAAUUUCUUGCUGCCUGUUUUUAUGUGGCCCAUGAGCAAAGAAUGGGUUUUAUAUGUUUAAAUGGUAGAAAACAUGGAAAGUAGAAUAGUAUCUUGUGACACAUGAGAAGUACGUGACAAGCAAACUUCCAUGUCCAUAAAGAAAGUUUCCCGGGAAUGUGGCCACACUCAAUUGUUGACAUCUUGCCUAGGGCUGAUUUCUUGCUACAGGGGAGGGUUUGAGUAGGUGGUGACUAAAAGCCAGUGGUCUGCAGAGCCUUAAAGAGUUUCCUUCUGGCCCUGUACAGAAAACGCUUGCUAACCCCUGCGCUGAUCCAUCUAAUGGAAUACACUGCUCACUCCGAGAGUUAAUCCUAGUAGGAAAUGUUGCUGGUAAUUUAAUAGAUGCUGCUUUUAUGUUUUAUUUUGUCCAUAUUCACUCCCUGGGAGGAGGUCAUGUUGGGGCUUGUGGCCAUCAAAGGUGAAGCCUCUUUAAGAGGAUGCUUGGGGAGCUCUACCAUCUGCUGAGAGGGUUGUGAUGGGCCCUCUGUGUUGUGGAAUGAAGAGGGAACACUGCCUGUCUGCCGGGAGCUGGCCUUCUGGGGAGCAGAAGAGAUGGUGGUUCGGACCUGUUGAGGUGGAGGCCCAAACCAAUCUGGUCUCUGGGGCGGCCGACAGGGAGAGUAGUUGUGUAGGAGUGGGUGUGAGGGCAGAGCCCGAAGGAGGGCACCCCUGACUGUACCCCCAGGAGGCUGCGGUGGUGGGUGUGGGGCAGCACUGUAGGAGGACCAGCACCUUCUGUGACUGAGGGGUCCUUGGAGAGCAGCUUCAGGCUGUGUGUGGCUGGAGGGGACUGAUUUGCCCUGCGCUCUCCUAACUUGGGCGUGGACCAGCUCUCCCUGUUUGGAUGGCACGAGCUGGGAGAAGUCAUCCUAUCAGGAGGCCCCAAGAGGAGAUAUGGGUUUCUUACAGCCCCGGUACUGGGACAGAGCUGAGGGUUUUUGCUCCUGACUUGGUGGGACAGAUCUUGGCAUGCAUGUGAGGACUCAGUGAGGUCCUGGGCAAUCAGGGAGGUGACGGGACCCUCUCAUUCCUCUGAUCUUGACUGCUUCUGGCCUCUGUCCAGCUCCUUGCUAAAGCUCUAUGCCCCAUUCCUCUCUAUGGACCCAACAGAUGAGCAAGUAUUGUCUGAAGGAAAUUCUGCCCAUUCUGUAGAAGGGGAACAUUGAGGUUUACAGAGGGGAAGAGCCUGCUGGCCCAGAGACACACAGGGAUUGCAGCCCUACUAAAAAUAUACAAAUUAGCCAGUGUGGUGGCACAUGCUUGUAA